This is a long non-coding RNA of Cryptomeria japonica (Japanese cedar), 2196 nucleotides long. RefSeq lists it as uncharacterized. The record is from RefSeq and is a predicted model, not a curated record. NCBI's taxonomy places the organism in Eukaryota, Viridiplantae, Streptophyta, Pinopsida, Cupressales, Cupressaceae. The transcript has 2 exons.
CAUCUGCUCCCACUUCUCCACAACCACUGCAAUAGAAACGCUCUCUUCUACGCAUCAGAAAAAGUGAAUGCUUCUGGCGGGAGGAAACAAAAUCAAGAGGAUUGACAGUCAUAACGUUGAGUAAAUUUGAAUUAGAAAUGCGGGCUGGGUUAGUGCGAGUCCAGGACACUGUUUGCAAGGAAUAGGGAACGCGAGAAAUUGGAACCCGGACCCCCGGACCCUCUAAUGAGAUAUACUUAAUAACAAAGCAAUUAUGCAAGGCGUUCCCUAUUUGAAGUUAAUCAAUUAAUAUUGAUUAACUUCAAAUAGAUAACGCCUUGUGUAAUUAAUUGCUUUGUUAUUGUGUAUAUCCCAUUAGGGAGCCCAGGUUCCAAUCUCUCACAUUCCCUGUUCCUUGAAACACACUGAGCCAACCCGUGUUUCUAAUUCAAAUUUACUCAUCAUUAUGGCUGCCAAUCCUCUUGAUCUUGUUUUCUCCCGCCACGAGCAUAAGCUUUUUCUGAUGCCUAGAAUAAAAUGUUUCUAUUGCAGCGGUUCCGGAGAAAUGGGAGCAGAUGCUGGUUAUUAAUGCAGAAAUCCAGACCGCUUCAACUUCGACUUGGUGCUGCAUCUUUCUUGUGCCAAACUUUUAGACAUAUUUGCUAAGCCAAAUUAAAUUUCUGCUCGUUGUCGUCGUUUUUGCACCAAAAGUGCAAAGCUUGCAAGAAUCUCUUUAAAGGCUUCUCACACGAAGCUCUUUGGACAUUUUUUUUCAAACCUGGUCUGAAAUUUCACCCGUCAUGUCUUGACGUACCAUAAAUUAACUCUAACAAACACACUUUUGCCGACCAUUCCCUGAAACUUAUCAGAGAGAAGAAAAUAAGACUUAAAUGCAGUCUGUGCAAGCAAAAUAUACCUUCAUGGAGAUAUGACUGAAUAAUUUGUACAUACUCACUGGAUAUUGUUUGCGCUAAAUGUUGUAUGUUGAACUGAGCCUUAUCAAUAAAUGGUAAGGCAGAUGUCGUACCGUUGCCCUCGCUACUAAGUCUUCUUGUGAAAUCUAAGCGGGUAUCUAGGAUUCCGGGGAUGCACACACAUUGCCUUAUCAUGUCUGCCAUUGCUCCUCUUCAUGUUGCAGAGAGGGAGUAAAGGACUGUCUUGGGUUAGCACACUCGGGUCUUGUAUACUAACCAGUCAGCAGGGAUUGUGGAGCUUACAUAUACAUCAGAUAUUCAGCACACAAGGAAUACUUACAAAGAUCUCUAUAGCUAUAUCAAUCGUUACGGAGCUUCUUCUGAGUAUCUUGUUAACUGUGGCAAAAGAGACAGUUUUAUCUGUAAAACCAUGCAAAUUGAAUGAUUUUAAUCCACUCCAUCCCCGCACCUCCAGCAGAUGUGGAAGUUUUGUAUUCAGGGCGUCAUAAACACCGGCUCUAUUUGUCGGACGGUUUGAUACGUUACAGAUGCAAGGGGUGUAAAGCAUAUGGAGCUAAUACAGGGUAUAAAUAUCGUUUAUGUGGGAAUGUCACGUUCCACAGAUCAUGUAUUGAGCUACCAGAUGAUUGUGUGCAUCCCCGGUAUCCUAGAUACACGCUCAGAUUUCACAAGAAGCCUAAGCGAGGACAACGGUGCGACAUCUGCGGAGACAAAAUAUUAGGUUUUGUGUUCAGGCUUUGGAGAAUUGCAAAGAAUUGCAAAUACACCCUCUCUGUAUGGUGCUGCGUCUGACACUUACCCACAGUCACCAUCCUGGUCAUAGCUUCAGACUACAUGCUAACGAGAAAAAUUGCCGUUGCUUGAGGUGCUCCGAACAAACAGGGGCAUUGAAAUAUGAAUGUGAGAUAGGUUGCGAAAGUUAUAUAGACAUAAAUUGUGCCAUAAUGCACUGUCACAGCCUAUCCUAUCCCAACCCGCAAGCCAGAGCAAACAUGUGGUUUCGACUGUUGGUAAGUUUCUUAUAUUUCUUGUGGGAAACUUUUGUGAGGGGUUAGCGAGAGGGUUAGAGGGCUGAUAAGAAGCUGCUGAUCGCCGGAUUGAUAAACCUUUUGUGAUGUGACAUUCUCAUGUCACAGUAUUUUCCAACAAUCCAAUGUUUUCAACAAACAAUUAUGUAUUUCAGAUUUCAUUUUUAUCACGUGAUGCUACUGUAAUUGAAAAUCAGAAUAAUUUCAGCUCUCUUUUUAUUGUGUUGUUGAUUAAGAAGAAAUUUCUAUGAAUA